Long non-coding RNA from Nerophis ophidion (straightnose pipefish), 2899 nucleotides. RefSeq lists it as uncharacterized. The record is from RefSeq and is a predicted model, not a curated record. Lineage: Eukaryota; Metazoa; Chordata; Actinopteri; Syngnathiformes; Syngnathidae. The transcript has 2 exons.
UUGGUGCGGCCCGCGAGCUUCACAUGAAUGGCGCUUUGCAGCAUCAUACUUGUAAAACCUCGAUUUUUCCAAGAGACUCCCAAUUUUCAGUGCCCCUGCCGGGAUAAUAAUCCUCCUGAUUUUCACCCUAAUAACAAUAUUAAGGGGGCAGUGUGGAGUCACUGCCUUUAACGUCCUCUACAACCUGUACAAACAACAUGGCAGCCCAGCCCCAUGUUGUAUUUGGCUCCAGUAGACGCAGUGAGAGACUGCAAGACAUGCAAUCCAAUGCAGCCCUAACUCGUCCGGGCUACAAUAGGGGGCGGGGGUGAAUAUUGUAGCCCGGAAGAGUUAGGGCUGCAUGGGAUUCUGGGUAUUUGUUAUGUUGUGUUUAUUUUGUGUUACGGUGCGGAUGUUCUGCCAAAAUGUGUUUGUCAAUCUUGUUUGGUGUGGGUUCACAGUGUGGCGCAUAUUUGUAACAGUGUUAAAGUUGUUUAUACGGCCACCCUCAGUGUGACCUGUGUGGCUGUUGAUCAAGUAUGUCUUGCAGUCACUUCCGUCGAACUGCAAAAGUCUCAUACAAUAUGGUGGAGAAACGGACGAGAAGGCAGGUUGUAAAGGACGGUAAAGGCAGUGCCAUCACGGCACACCUUUAAUAUUGUUGUCCGGGUGAAAAUCGAGAGAAUAAUUGCCCCGGGAGAUUGUCGGGAGGGGCACUGAUACUCGGGUGUUUACCGGAAAGAUCGCGAGAGUUGGCAAGUAUGUUGCUAGGGCGGGAAAUCCAUUCAAAGAAGGUGAAUUCAUUAAAAAGUGCACGUUUGAUUUUUUAAGAAAUCUUUUCACCCAGUUUCUGCAUCCAGUGGCCCCCAGGUAAAUUGAGUUUGAGACCCCUGAUUUAAAGUUAAAAAAAAUAAAAAUAAAAAUAAUAAUAUAUUACAUAUUUUUAACACUUUAUGAGUGGUGUCCUUUUGGAUCCCUGAGAAUUUUAGUGACAUUUAGAAAAAACAAACAACAACAACAAAGAAUCACUGUAAAUGUUGUUUUGAACAAUUGAUCAAUUUAAGGCUCCAUCCAUCCAUCCAUUUUCCUACAACUUGUCCCUUUCGGGGUCGUGAGGGGUGCUGGAGCCGAUCUCAGCUGCAUACAGGUGGAAGGCGGUGUACACCCUGGACAAGUCGCCACCUCAUCGCAGGUCCAACACAGAUAGACAAUCACACACUAGGGCCAAUUUUCUCCAAUUACUUCAUAUUAAAUAUUCCACUUUGAAUUGUUUUUUUGUUUUUUUGGGGGGAGGUGGAGGGAUGUUGCAUAAUUCUAGUUUUUGGCAUGAAAAAAGAAAGAAAAAAGAUAUUUGUUUUAAAAAAUAUUUAAAAAAACAAAAACGUAAUAUCAACAGAUCGGAAGUUGAUCAGGAGAUUCAAGCUUGGAAAGUACGAAUGUAUAAAUAAAUACUUAUUUUUAGCACCUUUUGAGUGGUGCCUUUGUGGAUCCGUGAAAUGCUUAGUGGCGUUUAAAAAUAAUAAAGUAAUUGCUCCAAAAAAAAGAGUAAAAAAAAAGAAUCAAAACAAAUGUUGCUUUGAAUUAUCAACCUAUUUUAGGCUCCAAUUACUACACAUCAAAUUUUCCACUUUGACAUUUUUUUGGUGGGAAAAGGUUGCAUAUUACGUGUUUCUGCCAUGAAAAACAGGGUUUUCUUUCAAAUAAAUACAACAUUAAAAAAAAAAAAAAAAAAUUAUAUCGACAGGUCUGAAGUUGAUCCAUAGAUUUAGGCAUCACAAUUAAUAUAUGACUUAAUUCUUCUAAUAUUUAUGACCGCGACCCUUCCCGGUCCCCGGGACUAAACUUGACGGGAGCCCUAAAGGAAAAAAAUAAAUAAUAAUAAUAUAUUUUAUUGGUUUCGAAUGUUAAAAAUACCAAAAUUUGAGUUUUCAGUGGCAAAAGUUGACACGCCCCUAGGGUAAACGGUUAUAAAAGACGCUUCCUGAAAACCCUCCGUGUGCUUGAGUCACAUGUUUGUUCUCUGUUAGUCUUCACGCCGAUGAAGCCCUGGCAUGAUUGCGUGCUUUUAUAAGACAAGCAGCCGUGACCUCGCUACAUGCCGCCGCCCGACCGGUUACCACGGCAACGCCGUGCCAGUGUGCGUCGCCGCACUGCCUCCGCCUGAGGCCAACUGGCUUGGCGAGGAAUGUGCAUGUGUGUGUUUGUGCAUGUUUGCCCUCGCGUCGGCGGCCAUCUUUGACCCAAACACACUCCACAAUGUUUUUAUUUUUCACCCCCUGGAGUGUGUGUGACGUCACCACACCUAUUGUUAUUGUUUUAUAUUUAAAUGCGACGUGAGCCCGGCUAAUUGCAGCCGCAAUUAUCGCGCCGCAUCUAAAUAUAGCUUCUUUUGUUGUCGUUAUUCGACAUUCGCUCGUGUGGUUUUUUUUUGAUUGGUCGUGAUCGGCGAAAAGCAGCUUAUGGAACGCUGACGGAAAGUAGGUCAUCUAUACAAGGAGCACUUGAAGGCACCGCGAGCUUUAACACGGAGCGGUCAAGCGAACACGUUUCUCUACGUCAACCAGCAUGGUUUUGGAUGGGAAAAUUGUGAUAUUAAGUCGGCUCUUACCGGAGAUAUCGGUGGAUUAUACCUCCUCCUACUGCAGCUCAAAAAGGCAGCUGUCAUCUUGGCUGCUCGGCUUCUCUCAGAGACACUGGCGUUCACCGCAGCCAUCCGACUUUCAGGUAUGACUUUACAAUCUCACUAAAACACUUUUAAAACAAUAAGCAGAUAAGGGAUCUUCAAUGAAUUGAUUAACGUGGACCCCGACUUAAACAAGUUGAAAAACUUAUUCGGGUGUUACCAUUUAGUGGUCAAUUGUACGGAAUAUGUACUGUACUGUGCAAACUACUAAUAAAAGUAUCAAUCAAUCAACCAGAA